This 270-nucleotide ribosomal RNA is filed under the name Prorocentrum micans. Its description in RNAcentral is "partial Eukaryotic small subunit ribosomal RNA". It matches the Rfam family "Eukaryotic small subunit ribosomal RNA", at positions 721 to 993 of the family's 1831-position model. Lineage: Eukaryota; Dinophyceae; Prorocentrales; Prorocentraceae. The record is from RNAcentral.
AUUAAUUUGUUGGGAUUGGGACCCGCAUCGUUUACUGUGAAAAAAUUAGAGUGUUUAAAGCAGGCAAUCGCUUGAAUACAUUAGCAUGGAAUAAUAAGAUAGGACUUUGGUACUAUUUUGUUGGUUUGCAUACCAAAUUAAUGAUCAACAGGAACAGUUUGAGGAUAUUCGUAUGAACAUGUCAGAGGUGAAAUUCUUGGAUUUUGAUCAGACGAACUACUGCGAAAGCAUUUACCAAGGAUGUUUUCAUUAAUCAAGAACGAAAGUUAG